Stegodyphus mimosarum is the source of this 83-nucleotide non-coding RNA. Lineage: Eukaryota; Metazoa; Arthropoda; Arachnida; Araneae; Eresidae. The record is from Rfam.
GCCCGGCUAGCUCAGUGGGUAGAGCACCAGACUCAAUUUCUGGUCCACGAAUGUGGUCGUGGGUUCGAAUCCCACUUCUGACA